CGGGAGGGCUGGUCGGGAGGAGGGGGCGGAUCGCGGCCUGUCAGCCAGGCACCGGCGGAAGCGGCCGCAGGCUCAGUGUCUGAAACUUGGAGUGGCGAAACAUGUCUCAGUCAGGCGAAAAAGUGAAGUUUUCCGACUCAGCAGGCUAUGUGGGGUUCGCCAAUCUGCCCAACCAGGUUCACAGGAAAUCUGUGAAGAAAGGCUUUGAGUUCACAUUGAUGGUGGUUGGUGAAUCUGGCUUGGGAAAAUCCACAUUAAUUAACAGUUUGUUCUUGACUGAUCUUUAUCCAGAACGUUAUAUUCCUGGAGCUGCAGAGAAAAUAGAGAGGACUGUUCAGAUCGAAGCUUCCACAGUAGAGAUUGAGGAGCGAGGAGUGAAACUGCGUCUAACGGUCGUCGACACACCGGGAUAUGGAGAUGCCAUUAACAGCCAGGACUGCUUCAAAACUAUUAUCCAGUACAUUGACAACCAGUUUGAAAGGUACCUUCAUGAUGAAAGUGGCCUGAACAGACGUCACAUUAUAGACAACAGAGUCCAUUGCUGCUUUUACUUCAUCUCUCCCUUUGGGCAUGGGCUGAAACCUUUAGAUGUAGAAUUCAUGAAGGCUCUGCAUGGAAAAGUCAACAUUGUCCCUGUGAUUGCCAAGGCUGACACACUGACGCUGAAGGAGAGAGAGAGGCUGAAGAGAAGAGUUCUGGAUGAGAUUUCGGAGCAUGGCAUUAGGAUUUAUCAGCUCCCUGAUGCAGACUCUGAUGAGGAUGAGGAGUUCAAAGAACAAACCAGAGUUCUGAAGGCUAGCAUCCCCUUUGCUGUCAUUGGAUCCAAUCAACUUAUUGAGGUGAAAGGGAAAAAAAUCAGAGGCCGUCUGUAUCCCUGGGGAGUGGUGGAAGUUGAAAAUCCAGAGCACAACGAUUUCCUUAAGCUGCGCACAAUGCUGGUAACGCACAUGCAGGACCUGCAGGAGGUGACCCAGGACUUGCACUAUGAGAACUUCCGUUCAGAGAGGCUAAAACGUACUGGCAAGCCUGUUGAAGAAGAAGUGGUAGAUAAGGAUAGAAUCCUCCAGCAGAAAGAGGCUGAGCUGCGCCGCAUGCAGGAGAUGAUUGCACAGAUGCAAGCCCAAAUGAGGAUGAAGCCUGGUGAUGAUUAAGAGGUUUAACAUCUGGAUGCAUCAGGCUGGAGUAAGAGAAGCAUAAAGGGAGUGUCAAAGGCAAAGCUUGUACACAGGGAAUAUAUUAAAAGUUUCCAAAGAGGAUAGACAGAUUUCUUGCUGUGGAGAAGCAGAAACUGGAAAGAGAAUGAAGAGGAGCACUGGUGGAAACUGGGUUAGAGGUAGGAAAGGAAGAUGCCUUUGGGAACAGGAGUGACCAUGCUGCCAACUGCAGGUUUUGACAAAAGGCUGUGAGGAGACCUAUUCUAGGAGAUGGUGGUGAAGAACUUUUGAGAGCAGCCCUAGCAAAGGUGAUGACUGACACUGUUUUGUCCUUUCUUCCAAGCAUGUCAUGGCCUCUGUGUGCAAACAGUAUCACAGUAUCAACAAGGCUGGAAAAGACCUCACAGAUCAUCAAGUCCAACCCUUUACCACAAUUCUCAAGGCUAGACCAUGGCACCAAGUGCCACAUCCAAUCCUGCCUUGAACAGCCCCAGGGACUGUUCACAGUGCAUGUGAAGGUGUUUGCAGCAGGCAGUGAGAGCACAGCUCUUCACCAGCAUACUCUAGGAAUGAGCAGGAAUAAUUGUAUCUUUUUUCACCCUAAAUUUUGAUAUACUCAUCUUACAAGUCCAUGUGAAGCAUGGUAAAGACUUGAAGACAAGCUUGAUUUUGUUCAGAUUUUUUGCUUCUGAAAUGCAAGACCCUGCUGUAAAGUGGAGGAGCUUACUGCUGCUUCUCCUUGACAGUUCAAAUGAAGGAUUGGAAAGGAAGGAGAUGGAGGGGUGGAGUAAGCUAACAAAAACUAAACCAGGUUUAGAUUUAGCUUUAUUUGGAUACUACAAAAUGCUUGUGAAAUAAGCUUGCAGUAAUCCCAACAGCAUAUCUGCCAAUUUCUGAACUUGUCCAUCCCAGAUGAACAAUUAUUACAACAAGCUGGAAUGAUUGUUUCAAAUGAAGUGGUUAUUGAGGGGUGUUUCUUCUCUUUUCUUCUUUGUUCCUAAAAGUAUAUCUCUGCAAUCUGUUUUCCUCUUCUUAUUCUUACAAAUCUGGAUUGUCUGUCUCCCACUCAGCUUCAAGAUCAUUUUGGGACAAACCAGUAACAGAAGCCAGCCUAUGGAAAACAAAUAUAGCCAGCUGGAAAUAUAGCUGUGGUUAGGGAUAUGUGCUCAGAAAAAAAAACUAAGCAUCUUAACACUUAAAAUAUCUGUAGGAUGUUGAAUUUUUUUUUCAAUACAGCUUCUGGUUUCCACAAGUAUUUGAAAGCCUCCUGAGCACACUAACACUGUUCUGGUUCUUGGUAGAACCAGUACUAAAGGCACCAAAGAGCUGCUUCUUCCUACCAAUGAAUUGACAUCAUUUAAGAGAACAACACAAGGCAUUGUCAUAGCAACCAGCCUGCUAAAACGAUGCUGCUGAAUACUGAAUUGAUCUGCUGAGAAAUGUCAUCUGAGGAAGUGAAGAUCCUGUUGUAGUUUUUGGCAGCUGAAUUUGAGAGCCUGGAGAAUGUGAAGCUUGGGCAAAUUUGUAGUAUUUGGAACAAGUGCCUGGCACUGCCAGUGGCUGUUUCUCUGGCUUGGAGGAGUGCUCUCAUUCUCCAGCUCUUUUCAGCUCUUCUGGCUGGGGAGUGGUUCAGCAAACCCUACACUGAAGGGCUCACACAAGUUUUUGUUUCCCUUACAGUAGGCUUCUGAUAGAAGUUUUUCUUCUGCUACUGUACAGCUCAAGUCUGGAACUUGUCUGGCUCCAUAGGACCUUGAAGUUAACUUUUAUAGAAAGUUCAUAGCUGAGUCCUCAAGAGCCACAUUGUGUGGAGGGCUAGGCAGGCUUCAGCAUACAGGUCUCUAAGUGGAUGGGUGCUGUCUUGUCUUUGACCGAAUGGUAACGUUGAAAUACAAAAGCCGGAUGCCGCAGAUCGAGACCUGCGUGAAACACAAAGUCUGAAGAUCGUGUUGUGAAACGGCUUGGUUUCUAUAUUCCAUGUUAAUCAAGUAUAUUGUAGCUCUUUUCUUUUGGUAACACUGUCUUCAUACUUAUCAAUGGGGGCUUAUUAUCCUUCCUUUACCCUUUUAUACCACAGCUGAUAGAGUACACUGUUUGGGCUAGUGGUCGUGCUGGUUUUGAGGAAUUAGUCGUGGAUCAGCUAGGUUGUUGUGAGCAAUUUGUGAUUAGUACUGAAAGACCUGGUGGGCUGUUUACAGUCAAUGUGUGUGUGUUUGCAUCACUCACCUGCCAUUUGAACUCCUUGUGUAUCAUAUCAGUCUUCCAUCAUUUUCUUUAUGCUUUGGUUAGUUUUGGAGCUUCGUCUCUGGUGGUUUCUAUUUGUGUCAGCUAUGAGAAAAUGUGCAAAGCACUGAUGAUUCACCAGUGAUGCAAAGAAGCUGACUUUCCUAAAUCAUCGUGCCUUAACACAGCAUAAACACUGCACAUGCCAACAGCUCCUGUGGAUGCCUCUGGAGAUUUAUCUUCAGGUCUCCAGCACUGAUUGCAAGAAUUUCUGUGGCAAGCAUUUUUAUCUGUCAGCUGAGUGAUGGCAUGUACUGAACUUUUUAUAUACCAUAACACUAAUUUUCAUUGAAGUUUUGUAAUAAAUUGUAUGAAUGUGGAAAA
Molecule: RNA transcript, 3761 nt
Organism: Pogoniulus pusillus (Red-fronted tinkerbird)
Lineage: Eukaryota; Metazoa; Chordata; Aves; Piciformes; Lybiidae
Gene name: septin-2
Exons: 14
Source: RefSeq, a predicted model, not a curated record